This 77-nucleotide transfer RNA is filed under the name Rheinheimera lutimaris. RNAcentral describes it as "Rheinheimera sp. YQF-2 tRNA-Asn". It matches the Rfam family "tRNA". Rfam says of the family: Transfer RNA (tRNA) molecules are approximately 80 nucleotides in length. Their secondary structure includes four short double-helical elements and three loops (D, anti-codon, and T loops). The record is from RNAcentral. Lineage: Bacteria; Pseudomonadati; Pseudomonadota; Gammaproteobacteria; Chromatiales; Chromatiaceae.
UCCCGAGUAGCUCAGUUGGUUAGAGCGGCGGACUGUUACUCCGUAGGUCACUGGUUCGAGUCCAGUCUGGGGAGCCA